RNAcentral lists this ribosomal RNA (473 nucleotides) under Bacillus sp. GTB-51. Its description in RNAcentral is "bacterial SSU rRNA". It matches the Rfam family "Bacterial small subunit ribosomal RNA", at positions 21 to 487 of the family's 1533-position model. The record is from RNAcentral. Lineage: Bacteria; Bacillati; Bacillota; Bacilli; Caryophanales; Bacillaceae.
UGCUCAGGACGAACGCUGGCGGCGUGCCUAAUACAUGCAAGUCGAGCGAACAGAAGGGAGCUUGCUCCCGGAUGUUAGCGGCGGACGGGUGAGUAACACGUGGGUAACCUGCCUGUAAGACUGGGAUAACUUCCGGGAAACCGGAGCUAAUACCGGAUAGUUCCUUGAACCGCAUGGUUCAAGGAUGAAAGACGGUUUCGGCUGUCACUUACAGAUGGACCCGCGGCGCAUUAGCUAGUUGGUGGGGUAAUGGCUCACCAAGGCAACGAUGCGUAGCCGACCUGAGAGGGUGAUCGGCCACACUGGGACUGAGACACGGCCCAGACUCCUACGGGAGGCAGCAGUAGGGAAUCUUCCGCAAUGGACGAAAGUCUGACGGAGCAACGCCGCGUGAGUGAUGAAGGUUUUCGGAUCGUAAAGCUCUGUUGUUAGGGAAGAACAAGUGCGAGAGUAACUGCUCGCACCUGACGGAC